UAUGGGAUGGGAAAAAAAAAAAAAAUUCAAAGCUUGUGCGUUCUCUCGCAAAACGUUUGCGUUCCCUGAGAAAGUUUUGCGUUCCCUCACAAAGAUAGCCUACCUGUUUUUUCCCACCACCACCAUGUCCCUUUAGCGGCUCCGUAGUUUGCAGUCAGUGCGUAGCAUUUUUUAAUUGUCUUCAUGGCAACACUGCGCAUGCUCGGUUUGAAUUACAGCAGAUUCUAACGGACACACUGAGCUGCAGCUGUAAACUGAACCACCAUUCUCCUACACACAACAGGACGUGAGAAGCGGAUUCUAGAAUGUUGUAUUUCUUCUACCAGAAGGAGUGGGGGAGGUUUCAUUUCCCUGGAGAAAACCCACAUAAAAAGCUACGCUUGUCCACCCAGGACCAGGAGACGGGAUCUGAAGCUGAUCCGGAUACCUUUGGCGUAAUGUCACAGGAGAAGG
Long non-coding RNA from Ictalurus punctatus (channel catfish), 453 nucleotides. RefSeq lists it as uncharacterized. The record is from RefSeq and is a predicted model, not a curated record. The transcript has 3 exons. Lineage: Eukaryota; Metazoa; Chordata; Actinopteri; Siluriformes; Ictaluridae.